RNAcentral lists this ribosomal RNA (359 nucleotides) under Wagnerinus sp. 2-Yukomanbetsu. RNAcentral describes it as "partial 12S ribosomal RNA". The record is from RNAcentral. Lineage: Eukaryota; Metazoa; Arthropoda; Insecta; Coleoptera; Curculionidae.
AGUCUAUUCAGAGGAACCUGUCCUAUGAUCGAUAGUCCACGAUUUUAUUUACUUAUUUUUUUAAUUUACAUAUCGUCGUAGUUUGAAUAUUUUAAUAGAAAUUUAAAUAUUCAAGAUUCUUAUUGGAAGGAAUUCAGAUCAAGGUGUAGUUUAUAAAUAAGAAGAGAUGGGUAACAAUAAAAUUUAUUUAUACAGUUAAGUAUUUUUAAUACUACUUAUAAGGUGGAUUUGAUGGUAAUUUUUUUUAAAUUUUAAAAAUGAUUUUAGCUCUAAAAUAUGUACAUAUCGCCCGUCGCUUUCAUUUUAAGGUGAAAUAAGUCGUAACAAAGUAGGUGUACCGGAAGGUGUACCUGGAAAAU